UGUUCGGAAUUAUUGGGCGUAAAGGGUGCGUAGGCGGUUUGGUAAGUCUGAUGUGAAAUCUAUGGGCUCAACUCAUAGUCUGCAUCGGAAACUGCCGGGCUUGAGUAUGGGAGAGGUGAGUGGAAUUCCUGGUGUAGCGGUGAAAUGCGUAGAUAUCAGGAGGAACACCUGUGGCGAAAGCGGCUCACUGGACCAUAACUGACGCUGAUGCACGAAAGCUAGGGGAGCAAACAGG
Molecule: ribosomal RNA, 235 nt
Filed under: uncultured bacterium
Lineage: Bacteria
Description: partial 16S ribosomal RNA
Rfam family: Bacterial small subunit ribosomal RNA
Source: RNAcentral